Molecule: ribosomal RNA, 105 nt
Organism: Ochotona princeps (American pika)
Lineage: Eukaryota; Metazoa; Chordata; Mammalia; Lagomorpha; Ochotonidae
Source: Ensembl
GUCUACGGCCAUACCACCCUGAACGCGCCCGAUCUUGUCUGAUCUUGGAAGCUAAGCAGGGUCGGGCCUGGUUAGUACUUGGAUGGGUGAAAGGUGCAGUAAGGC